RNAcentral lists this long non-coding RNA (233 nucleotides) under Nicotiana benthamiana. RNAcentral describes it as "long non-coding RNA (NBEN_LNC037263)". Lineage: Eukaryota; Viridiplantae; Streptophyta; Magnoliopsida; Solanales; Solanaceae. The record is from RNAcentral.
CUUGUUAUAAUCACAAGCAGUCACUAAUCAAAUUAUUGUCUUGCAUUUAGACACCAUGUUUUAGGGCCUCUAUAUGCAUUAGACACCAUGUACUUAGGGUCUUUCUUUUGCAACUGUUGAAUGCCUCACUAUCUUGCUAAACAAAAAAAAUAUAAGACUGGUUAACAAACUCCUCAUUAAAAACUGAACACCAUUGCAUGCUCACCAUUUUUAAUAACGCCUAAGCAAACCUU